RNAcentral lists this ribosomal RNA (497 nucleotides) under uncultured bacterium. RNAcentral describes it as "partial 16S ribosomal RNA". It matches the Rfam family "Bacterial small subunit ribosomal RNA", at positions 28 to 507 of the family's 1533-position model. The record is from RNAcentral.
GAUGAACGCUGGCGGCGUGCCUAAUACAUGCAAGUCGAGCGAACAGACGAGGAGCUUGCUCCUUCGACGUUAGCGGCGGACGGGUGAGUAACACGUAGGUAACCUACCUAUAAGACUGGGAUAACUUCGGGAAACCGGAGCUAAUACCGGAUAAUAUUUCGAACCGCAUGGUUCGAUAGUGAAAGAUGGCUUUGCUAUCACUAAUAGAUGGACCUGCGCCGUAUUAGCUAGUUGGUAAGGUAACGGCCUACCAAGGCAACGAUACGUAGCCGACCUGAGAGGGUGAUCGGCCACACUGGAACUGAGACACGGUCCAGACUCCUACGGGAGGCAGCAGUAGGGAAUCUUCCGCAAUGGGCGAAAGCCUGACGGAGCAACGCCGCGUGAGUGAUGAAGGUCUUCGGAUCGUAAAGCUCUGUUAUUAGGGAAGAACAAACGUGUAAGUAACUGUGCACGUCUUGACGGUACCUAAUCAGAAAGCCACGGCUAACUACGUG